RNAcentral lists this small RNA (4293 nucleotides) under Pongo abelii (Sumatran orangutan). RNAcentral describes it as "retained intron". The record is from RNAcentral. Lineage: Eukaryota; Metazoa; Chordata; Mammalia; Primates; Hominidae.
CUGCUCCAUCUAGCUCUUUCCAGUGCAGCCACUGCCGCCGCCCAGGAGCCCUCGUCCCCUGCCUCGUUCCCCUCCUCGUUCCCGCUCCCACGGCAUGGAGCAGGACACCGCCGCAGUGGCAGCCACCGUGGCAGCCGCGGAUGCGACCGCCACUAUCGUGGUCAUAGAGGACGAGCAGCCGGGGCCGUCCACCUCUCAGGAGGAGGGAGCGGCCGCCGCGGCCACCGAAGCCACCGCGGCCACGGAGAAGGGCGAGAAGAAGAAGGAGAAAAACGUUUCUUCAUUUCAACUCAAACUUGCUGCUAAAGCGCCUAAAUCUGAAAAGGAAAUGGACCCAGAAUAUGAAGAGAAAAUGAAAGCCGACCGAGCAAAGAGAUUUGAAUUUUUACUGAAGCAGACAGAACUUUUUGCACAUUUCAUUCAGCCUUCAGCACAGAAAUCUCCAACAUCUCCACUGAACAUGAAAUUGGGACGUCCCCGAAUAAAGAAAGAUGAAAAGCAGAGCUUAAUUUCUGCUGGAGACUACCGCCAUAGGCGCACAGAGCAAGAAGAAGAUGAAGAGCUACUGUCCGAGAGUCGGAAAACAUCUAAUGUGUGUAUUAGAUUUGAGGUGUCACCUUCAUAUGUGAAAGGGGGGCCACUGAGAGAUUAUCAGAUUCGAGGACUGAAUUGGUUGAUCUCUUUAUAUGAAAAUGGAGUCAAUGGCAUUUUGGCUGAUGAAAUGGGCCUUGGGAAAACUUUACAAACAAUUGCUUUGCUUGGUUACCUGAAACACUACCGAAAUAUUCCUGGACCUCACAUGGUUUUAGUUCCAAAGUCUACUUUACACAACUGGAUGAAUGAAUUUAAACGAUGGGUCCCAUCUCUCCGUGUCAUUUGUUUUGUCGGAGACAAGGAUGCCAGAGCUGCUUUUAUUCGUGAUGAAAUGAUGCCAGGAGAGUGGGAUGUUUGCGUUACUUCUUAUGAGAUGGUAAUUAAAGAAAAAUCUGUAUUCAAAAAGUUUCACUGGCGAUACCUAGUCAUUGAUGAAGCUCACAGAAUAAAGAAUGAAAAAUCUAAGCUUUCAGAGAUUGUUCGUGAGUUCAAGUCGACUAACCGCUUGCUCCUAACUGGAACACCUUUGCAGAAUAACCUGCAUGAACUGUGGGCCUUACUCAACUUUCUAUUGCCUGAUGUCUUUAAUUCUGCAGAUGACUUUGAUUCUUGGUUUGACACUAAAAAUUGUCUUGGUGAUCAAAAACUCGUGGAAAGACUUCAUGCAGUUUUAAAACCAUUUUUGUUACGCCGUAUAAAAACUGAUGUAGAGAAGAGUCUGCCACCUAAAAAGGAAAUAAAGAUUUACUUGGGGCUGAGUAAGAUGCAACGAGAAUGGUAUACAAAAAUCCUGAUGAAAGAUAUUGAUGUUUUAAACUCUUCUGGCAAGAUGGACAAGAUGCGACUCUUAAACAUUCUGAUGCAGCUUCGAAAGUGUUGUAAUCAUCCAUAUCUGUUUGAUGGUGCUGAACCUGGUCCACCUUAUACCACUGAUGAGCAUAUUGUCAGCAACAGCGGUAAAAUGGUAGUUCUGGAUAAACUAUUGGCCAAACUCAAAGAACAGGGUUCAAGGGUUCUCAUUUUCAGCCAGAUGACUCGCUUGUUGGAUAUUUUGGAAGAUUAUUGCAUGUGGCGUGGUUAUGAGUAUUGUCGACUGGAUGGACAAACCCCGCAUGAAGAAAGAGAGGAAGCAAUAGAGGCUUUUAAUGCUCCCAAUAGUAGCAAAUUCAUCUUUAUGCUAAGUACCAGGGCUGGAGGUCUCGGAAUUAACCUGGCAAGUGCUGAUGUGGUUAUACUAUAUGAUUCAGACUGGAACCCACAGGUUGAUCUACAAGCUAUGGAUCGAGCACAUCGUAUUGGUCAGAAGAAACCAGUACGUGUAUUCCGUCUCAUCACUGACAACACUGUUGAAGAGAGGAUUGUAGAAAGAGCUGAGAUAAAACUGAGACUCGAUUCAAUUGUUAUACAACAAGGAAGACUCAUUGACCAACAGUCUAACAAGCUGGCAAAAGAGGAAAUGUUACAAAUGAUACGGCAUGGAGCCACCCAUGUUUUUGCUUCUAAAGAGAGUGAGUUGACAGAUGAAGACAUUACAACUAUUCUGGAAAGAGGGGAAAAGAAGACUGCAGAGAUGAAUGAACGCCUGCAAAAAAUGGGAGAGUCUUCUCUAAGAAAUUUUAGAAUGGACAUUGAACAAAGUUUAUACAAGUUUGAAGGAGAAGAUUAUAGAGAAAAACAGAAGCUUGGCAUGGUGGAAUGGAUUGAACCUCCUAAACGAGAACGCAAAGCAAACUACGCAGUGGAUGCCUACUUUAGAGAGGCUUUGCGUGUCAGCGAGCCAAAGAUUCCAAAGGUAAAACUGUACAAGGCCAGUUUUUGUGUCCUAAAGUAGAUUUCUCUUGCAACAUGAUCUAUGGGUCAGAUUUACUUGUAUCAUUGCCAAAUCAUAGUCUCUAAAAUAUAACAGUACAAAAAAGUAUUUGAUUUGGCCCAGCCAUAUAAAUGGAUUUUAUUGUAUUUAUUGUUCCAUAUAUAACAGAAAUAGUAAAAGAUAAGUAAGUUUACUUCAUGUACUGAAAAGAAGUAUAUAUAAUACAUUUUCCUCUCAUAGGCUCCACGGCCUCCAAAACAGCCAAAUGUUCAGGAUUUUCAAUUUUUCCCACCACGCUUAUUUGAGCUCCUGGAAAAGGAAAUUCUUUAUUAUCGGAAGACAAUAGGCUAUAAGGUCCCAAGGAAUCCUGAUAUCCCAAAUCCAGCUCUGGCUCAAAGAGAAGAGCAAAAAAAGAUUGAUGGAGCUGAACCUCUUACACCAGAAGAGACUGAAGAGAAGGAAAAACUUCUCACACAAGGUUUCACAAACUGGACUAAACGAGAUUUUAACCAGUUUAUUAAAGCUAAUGAGAAAUAUGGAAGAGAUGACAUUGAUAACAUAGCUCGAGAGGUAGAGGGCAAAUCCCCUGAGGAGGUCAUGGAGUAUUCAGCUGUAUUUUGGGAACGUUGCAAUGAAUUACAGGACAUUGAGAAAAUUAUGGCUCAAAUUGAACGUGGAGAAGCAAGAAUUCAACGAAGGAUCAGUAUCAAGAAAGCCCUGGAUGCCAAAAUUGCAAGAUACAAGGCUCCAUUUCAUCAGUUGCGCAUUCAGUAUGGAACCAGCAAAGGAAAGAACUAUACUGAGGAAGAAGAUAGAUUCUUGAUUUGUAUGUUACACAAAAUGGGCUUUGAUAGAGAAAAUGUAUAUGAAGAAUUAAGACAGUGUGUACGAAAUGCUCCCCAGUUUAGAUUUGACUGGUUUAUCAAGUCUAGGACUGCCAUGGAAUUCCAGAGACGCUGUAACACUCUGAUUUCAUUGAUUGAGAAAGAAAAUAUGGAAAUUGAGGAAAGAGAGAGAGCAGAAAAGAAGAAACGGGCAACUAAAACUCCAAUGGUAAAAUUUUCAGCAUUUUCCUAACUUUUAGAUUUAACAUUGUUGGGCCAUUUAAAAUGUGCAUAUUGGAGCAGAACAUUAAAUCUGUUUCCAUUUUAGUCACAGAAAAGAAAAGCAGAGUCAGCUACUGAGAGCUCUGGAAAGAAGGAUGUCAAGAAGGUGAAAUCCUAAAGCCUAGAAAUAAAGUUUUAAAUGGGAAACUGCUAUUUUCUUGUUCCCAUCUUCAAAUGCUAAUUGCCAGUUCCAGUGUAUUCAUGGUACUCUAAGAAAAAUCUCUUUGGUUUUGAUUUCUUGCAUAUUUUAUAUAUUUUACAAUGCUUUCUACCUGAAAUGUGUAGCUUUAUAUUUUAUGGCAUUCUAGUAUUUUUGUGUACUGUAUUUUGUGCAUUUCAUGUCUUCAUCAAAAUCCUCUCAGUCCUUGUUCUUUUGAAGCUUGUGCUGAGGUUUUAGCUUUUCUAUGUUUUAUAUGCCGCUGCUUUGAAAGAGAACCUAGAUUCUAUAGUUGUAUUAUUGUUGUUUCAUACUUUAAAUUUAUAUGGCUGUGGAAAAACGAAUUAAAAUGUUUUGAGGAGAAAGACUUUUUCACUUCUUUGUUGCUUUCUUUUCUAUUGAGUCUGGGCUUGUUUGUGUUACUGCAUACUGUGAUUAGCAUAAUAAUUGUUUCUUUGAGGUCAUCUAAAUAUUUUUUUCCUAAAGGAAUAAAGGGUGAGGAAAGAAAAAUAUUAAAAAAGCUAAUAUUUGAUACUGUGCUUGCUGUCAGUAUGCAUUACAUUUAAAUUAUUCUCUAAAUAUUCAAGUGGGAAAAUAUAAUAAAGAAAUGUCUAUAAGAAAUUUAA